This 839-nucleotide ribosomal RNA is filed under the name uncultured eukaryote. RNAcentral's name for it is "SSU rRNA". It matches the Rfam family "Eukaryotic small subunit ribosomal RNA", at positions 635 to 1426 of the family's 1831-position model. The record is from RNAcentral.
CGGUGUUCAACUGGCGUGCCCGCGGGACGUCCUGCCGGUGAGCUCAGCCCGCGAGGGCGGCUCAACUUGAAAUCCCAUCGCGGUGCUCUUCAUUGAGUGUCGAGGUGGGCCGGCACGAUUACUUUUGAACAAAUUAGAGUGCUUAAAGCAGGCUAAAAUUUUGCCUGAAUACUGUGUAUAUGGAAUAAUGGAAUAGGACCUCGGUUCUAUUUUGUUGGUUUUCGGAACCCCGAGGUAAUGAUUAAUAGGAACGGAUGGGGGCAUUCGUAUUGCGACGUUAGAGGUGAAAUUCUUGGAUCGUCGCAAGACGGACUAAAGCGAAAGCAUUUGCCAAAAACGCUUUCAUUGAUCAAGAACGAAAGUUAGAGGUUCGAAGGCGAUCAGAUACCGCCCUAGUUCUAACCAUAAACUAUGCCAGCUAGCGAUCCGCCGACGUCCCUCUGAUGACUCGGCGGGCAGCUUCCGGGAAACCAAAGCUUUUGGGUUCCGGGGGAAGUAUGGUCGCAAAGCUGAAACUUAAAGGAAUUGACGGAAGGGCACCACCAGGAGUGGAGCCUGCGGCUUAAUUUGACUCAACACGGGAAACCUCACCAGGCCCAGACACUGGAAGGAUUGACAGAUUGAGAGCUCUUUCUUGAUUCAGUGGGUGGUGGUGCAUGGCCGUUCUUAGUCGGUGGAGCGAUUUGUCAGGUUAAUUCCGAUAACGGACGAGACUCUGACCUGAUAACUAGACGCACUUGCGGCAUCUCAAAGGUCCGCCGGCGGCUGGCUUUGCGCCCGUCGUCGCGCGCGAUUUUUACUGCCGGCGUACAAUAAAUUCUUCUUAGAGGGACAAGUGG